UACGUAGGGUCCGAGCGUUGUCCGGAAUUACUGGGCGUAAAGAGCUCGUAGGUGGUUUGUCGCGUUGUUCGUGAAAACUCACAGCUUAACUGUGGGCGUGCGGGCGAUACGGGCAGACUUGAGUACUGCAGGGGAGACUGGAAUUCCUGGUGUAGCGGUGGAAUGCGCAGAUAUCAGGGAGGAACACCGGUGGCGAAGGCGGGUCUCUGGGCAGUAACUGACGCUGAGGAGCGAAAGCGUGGGGAGCGAACAGG
This 254-nucleotide ribosomal RNA is filed under the name uncultured bacterium. RNAcentral describes it as "partial 16S ribosomal RNA". It matches the Rfam family "Bacterial small subunit ribosomal RNA", at positions 524 to 776 of the family's 1533-position model. The record is from RNAcentral.